Molecule: ribosomal RNA, 761 nt
Filed under: Acinetobacter sp. THGR13
Lineage: Bacteria; Pseudomonadati; Pseudomonadota; Gammaproteobacteria; Moraxellales; Moraxellaceae
Description: bacterial SSU rRNA
Rfam family: Bacterial small subunit ribosomal RNA
Source: RNAcentral
CCUAGCGGCGGACGGGUGAGUAAUGCUUAGGAAUCUGCCUAUUAGUGGGGGACAACAUUCCGAAAGGGAUGCUAAUACCGCAUACGUCCUACGGGAGAAAGCAGGGGAUCACUUGUGACCUUGCGCUAAUAGAUGAGCCUAAGUCGGAUUAGCUAGUUGGUGGGGUAAAGGCCUACCAAGGCGACGAUCUGUAGCGGGUCUGAGAGGAUGAUCCGCCACACUGGGACUGAGACACGGCCCAGACUCCUACGGGAGGCAGCAGUGGGGAAUAUUGGACAAUGGGGGGAACCCUGAUCCAGCCAUGCCGCGUGUGUGAAGAAGGCCUUAUGGUUGUAAAGCACUUUAAGCGAGGAGGAGGCUACUUUGGUUAAUACCCAGAGAUAGUGGACGUUACUCGCAGAAUAAGCACCGGCUAACUCUGUGCCAGCAGCCGCGGUAAUACAGAGGGUGCGAGCGUUAAUCGGAUUUACUGGGCGUAAAGCGUGCGUAGGUGGCUAAUUAAGUCAAAUGUGAAAUCCCCGAGCUUAACUUGGGAAUUGCAUUCGAUACUGGUUAGCUAGAGUAUGGGAGAGGAUGGUAGAAUUCCAGGUGUAGCGGUGAAAUGCGUAGAGAUCUGGAGGAAUACCGAUGGCGAAGGCAGCCAUCUGGCCUAAUACUGACACUGAGGUACGAAAGCAUGGGGAGCAAACAGGAUUAGAUACCCUGGUAGUCCAUGCCGUAAACGAUGUCUACUAGCCGUUGGGGUCUUUGAGACUUUAGUG